Molecule: non-coding RNA, 106 nt
Filed under: unclassified sequences
Description: RT-5 RNA
Rfam family: RT-5 RNA
About the family: Clostridium (Firmicutes).
Source: Rfam by way of RNAcentral
GUGCGCCUGCGGAAGGUCAAGCGUCGCCCGCAAAACACGGCUUUGCAGGCAGCCGGACGGCGUACGGCCCCGUAUCAUAAGCAACUGCUUAUUUCAAAGCAUUUUC